This 490-nucleotide ribosomal RNA is filed under the name uncultured bacterium. RNAcentral describes it as "partial 16S ribosomal RNA". It matches the Rfam family "Bacterial small subunit ribosomal RNA", at positions 30 to 507 of the family's 1533-position model. The record is from RNAcentral.
AUUGAACGCUGGCGGCAGGCCUAACACAUGCAAGUCGAACGGUAACAGGAAACAGCUUGCUGUUUCGCUGACGAGUGGCGGACGGGUGAGUCAUGUCUGGGAAACUGCCUGAUGGAGGGGGAUAACUACUGGAAACGGUAGCUAAUACCGCAUAACGUCGCAAGACCAAAGAGGGGGACCUUCGGGCCUCUUGCCAUCGUAUGUGCCCAGAUGGGAUUAGCUAGUAGGUGGGGUAACGGCUCACCUAGGCGACGAGCCCUAGCUGGUCUGAGAGGAUGACAAGCCACACUGGAACUGAGACACGGUCCAGACUCCUACGGGAGGCAGCAGUGGGGAAUAUUGGACAAUGGGCGCAAGCCUGAUGCAGCCAUGCCGCGUGUAUGAAGAAGGCCUUCGGGUUGUAAAGUACUUUCAGCGGGGAGGAAGGGAGUAAAGUUAAUACCUUUGCUCAUUGACGUUACCCGCAGAAGAAGCGCCGGCUAACUCCGUG